Non-coding RNA from Macaca mulatta (Rhesus monkey), 649 nucleotides. NCBI's taxonomy places the organism in Eukaryota, Metazoa, Chordata, Mammalia, Primates, Cercopithecidae. The record is from RefSeq and is a predicted model, not a curated record.
UAAACUCUCUAAACAGUAACGACUGUCAAUCUGUUCCAUGGGAUGCCAAUGUGCACAGUAGGAGGGAAGUAGAGCACCUCUUAUCUACAAGCAAUACGUACUGUGCAGGCAUUUCACCUCUUUAUUCUUCUGUAAUCACUGCAACCACCUAUGUUCACAGAUGUCAGUAUGGAAAUUCAUAAAGAACAUUCUUAUUCUUCACAUCCACUGUUAAGUGACCACCCUUUAUUUUGCAAUCAGAGAGUCGAGCUGGCAGAACUGAAGUGCCUUGGCAGCUGCAGAGAUGAAACUCAACUGAACAAACAGAUUCUUAAGUGAUGCUUAGAUGGAAGAACUUGGACAUGGUUCAGAUUUCUUAAAAGUUCAUUUAAAUGUGUGAUUGAAUCCUGCUCAUUACCCUCUCGGCAGUAUAUUAUAUAUUCAACUAUUUUAUUGUAUAAUAAUAUAGAGGGUGGAAAAUAAAGGUACAGUAUUACCAACUCUUCUUAUUAUAGAAGAAGAGCAGCUUUGUUUAUGUCAUAAACAAUAGUCAAUAAAUGCAUGUAAGUUAAUUUUUCACAGCAAUCUAUACCCAGAACUUGAAAUAUGCUAUUUUGUUCUUUGGUCCAAAUAUCUUGAGACAAAUAAAUCCUUCUGUAUGGUAAUCAGA